CCUACGGGAGGCAGCAGUGGGGAAUAUUGGGCAAUGGAGGAAACUCUGACCCAGCAACGCCGCGUGAAUGAUGAAGGUCUUCGGAUUGUAAAGUUCUUUUCUAAGGGAAGAAAAUGACGGUACCUGACUAAGAAGCCCCGGCUAACUACGUGCCAGCAGCCGCGGUAAUACGUAGGGGGCAAGCGUUAUCCGGAUUUACUGGGUGUAAAGGGAGCGUAGACGGUUAUGCAAGUCUGAAGUGAAAGCCCAAGGCUCAACCAUGGGACUGCUUUGGAGACUGUAAAACUGGAGUGCAGGAGAGGUAAGCGGAAUUCCUAGUGUAGCGGUGAAAUGCGUAGAUAUUAGGAGGAACACCAGUGGCGAAGGCGGCUUACUGGACUGUAACUGACGUUGAGGCUCGAAGGCGUGGGGAGCAAACAGGAUUAGAUACCCGUGUAGUC
This 440-nucleotide ribosomal RNA is filed under the name uncultured bacterium. Its description in RNAcentral is "partial 16S ribosomal RNA". It matches the Rfam family "Bacterial small subunit ribosomal RNA", at positions 338 to 795 of the family's 1533-position model. The record is from RNAcentral.